Long non-coding RNA from Eurytemora carolleeae, 409 nucleotides. RefSeq lists it as uncharacterized. The record is from RefSeq and is a predicted model, not a curated record. Lineage: Eukaryota; Metazoa; Arthropoda; Copepoda; Calanoida; Temoridae. The transcript is spliced from 2 exons.
AAUUAUUUCACCCCUCGCAAUGUUGGUAUAAAACCGGAGCUUGCCUCUGAGAAGCUCUAGUUGGGAUCUGUACAGCAGAGAACAAACAUAUCAACAUGGAUUCACAGGAUUGCAAUUGUGGCGCGAAGACUGGAGGAGAAUGCAAAUGUGCAGAUUGUAAAUGCACAAACUGUGCAUGCAAAAACUGUCCCAAGAAGAGCUAAAUUCAGCACACCAGCUGUACAAUGCACAUAUCUCAUCAACUUCAUCUCUGAUGCAGCCUAAUAUGUGUACUGCCGAACUUAUCUCAUGUACAAAAAUUCCUCCUGGAUUGUACAAAUAAAUUUGCAUGUACGUUGCACGUACAAAUAUUGGCAGACAUAUUUAAAAAUAUUUUGAUUAGAUUAAAUAAAAUUUUCGAAAAUUUCCA